CAAAACGUAGCUUAACCAAAGCAUCUCGCUUACACCAAGAAAAUGCCCGUUUAACCCGGACCGUUUUGA
Molecule: transfer RNA, 69 nt
Filed under: Scinax v-signata
Lineage: Eukaryota; Metazoa; Chordata; Amphibia; Anura; Hylidae
Description: tRNA-Val
Rfam family: tRNA
About the family: Transfer RNA (tRNA) molecules are approximately 80 nucleotides in length. Their secondary structure includes four short double-helical elements and three loops (D, anti-codon, and T loops). Further hydrogen bonds mediate the characteristic L-shaped molecular structure. tRNAs have two regions of fundamental functional importance: the anti-codon, which is responsible for specific mRNA codon recognition, and the 3' end, to which the tRNAs corresponding amino acid is attached (by aminoacyl-tRNA synthetases). tRNAs cope with the degeneracy of the genetic code in two manners: having more than one tRNA (with a specific anti-codon) for a particular amino acid; and 'wobble' base-pairing, i.e. permitting non-standard base-pairing at the 3rd anti-codon position.
Source: RNAcentral